RNAcentral lists this ribosomal RNA (316 nucleotides) under uncultured soil bacterium. Its description in RNAcentral is "bacterial SSU rRNA". It matches the Rfam family "Bacterial small subunit ribosomal RNA", at positions 26 to 342 of the family's 1533-position model. The record is from RNAcentral.
AGAUUGAACGCUGGCGGCAUGCCUAACACAUGCAAGUCGAACGGCAGCGCGGGUAGCAAUACCUGGCGGCGAGUGGCGGACGGGUGAGGAAUACAUAGGAAUCUACCCCGUCGUGGGGGAUAACGUAGGGAAACUUACGCUAAUACCGCAUACGACCGAGAGGUGAAAGCGGCGGACCGCAAGGCGUCGCGCGGCUGGAUGAGCCUAUGUCCGAUUAGCUAGUUGGCGGGGUAAGAGCCCACAAGGCGACGAUCGGUAGCUGGUCUGAGAGGAUGAUCAGCCACACUGGGACUGACGACACGGCCCAGACUCCGUA